Molecule: ribosomal RNA, 440 nt
Filed under: uncultured bacterium
Lineage: Bacteria
Description: partial 16S ribosomal RNA
Rfam family: Bacterial small subunit ribosomal RNA
Source: RNAcentral
CCUACGGGAGGCAGCAGUGGGGAAUAUUGCACAAUGGGGGGAACCCUGAUGCAGCGACGCCGCGUGAGUGAAGAAGUAUUUCGGUAUGUAAAGCUCUAUCAGCAGGGAAGAAAAUGACGGUACCUGACUAAGAAGCCCCGGCUAACUACGUGCCAGCAGCCGCGGUAAUACGUAGGGGGCAAGCGUUAUCCGGAUUUAAUGGGUGUAAAGGGAGCGCAGGCGGCACGGCAAGCCUGAUGUGAAAGCCCGGGGCCCAACCGCGGGACUGCAGUGGGAACUGCCGGGCUGGAGUGCCGGAGAGGUAGGCGGAAUUCCUAGUGUAGCGGUGAAAUGCGUAGAUAUUAGGAGGAACACCAGUGGCGAAGGCGGCCUACUGGACGGUGACUGACGCUGAGGCUCGAAAGCGUGGGGAGCAAACAGGAUUAGAUACCCGAGUAGUC